RNAcentral lists this unclassified non-coding RNA (515 nucleotides) under Hevea brasiliensis (rubber tree). The record is from RNAcentral. Lineage: Eukaryota; Viridiplantae; Streptophyta; Magnoliopsida; Malpighiales; Euphorbiaceae.
GUUUCACCCUUGAUAGUAAACAGAUAUACUAGUAGUCAAAGAGAAAGGGAGGGUGGAACCAACAGCGAAGAAAUCUGUGGAGGAAAAUCUGUACAAGUGGUUGGAACUUUGAGCAUUUAGACAGGGGGUAUGUUGGAAAAGGAGAAACCCUUGUAACCCUUAUAAGCAUAGUAGGCAAUCCUCGUGUAAUAGAACCCUGGAAUAAACAAGAGAGCUCCCAACAACGAGAAAAACACCCCGUGAGCACGAUCACCACCGACUCGAUUACUGGCCAUGAAGGCACCAACGACGAUUCCAAUCAUGCCGAAAACGAGAAGAGAAACGGCAAGAGCGAUCUCCUUAAUAGGAGGCCGAUUGUUGACGGUGAACGGAGAAUCCAUCAUAAUGUCUUCGUCUGUUAUCGAAAACGCAUGAUCCACAUACGCCAUCUUUCUCUGUAUUGCCGGAGAAGAAGGUGUCGGAGCUUCGAUCUGCAGAAAAAGAGUACCGGAUUUGGUGAAGAAGGCGGCGAUGAC